Molecule: ribosomal RNA, 821 nt
Filed under: uncultured bacterium
Lineage: Bacteria
Description: bacterial SSU rRNA
Rfam family: Bacterial small subunit ribosomal RNA
Source: RNAcentral
GUAAUACGGAGGAUGCGAGCGUUAUCCAGAUUUAUUGGGUUUAAAGGGUGCGCAGGCGGCGUGUCAAGCAAGCGGUAAAAUAGCGGGGCUCAACCCCGUCGAGCCGUUUGAACUGGCGCGCUUGAGUUCAGGCGAGGUAGGCGGAAUUCGUGGUGUAGCGGUGAAAUGCAUAGAUAUCACGAAGAACUCCGAUUGCGAAGGCAGCUUACCAGUCUGCGACUGACGCUCAGGCACGAAAGUGUGGGUAUCGAACAGGAUUAGAUACCCUGGUAGUCCACACAGUAAACGAUGAGCGCUAGGUGUCCGGGUCGAAUGAGGCUUGGGUGCCCGAGCGAAAGCGUUAAGCGCUCCACCUGGGGAGUACGCCGGCAACGGUGAAACUCAAAGGAAUUGACGGGGGCCCGCACAAGCGGAGGAACAUGUGGUUUAAUUCGAUGAUACGCGAGGUACCUUACCCGGGCUCAAACGACUCAGGAAUAUAUUGGAAACGAUGUAGCCAGCAAUGGUCUGAGUCGAGGUGCUGCAUGGUUGUCGUCAGCUCGUGCCGUGAGGUGUCGGCUUAAGUGCCAUAACGAGCGCAACCCCUACCGCCAGUUGCCAACGGGUAAAGCCGGGAACUCUGGCGGGACUGCCGGCGCAAGCUGCGAGGAAGGCGGGGAUGACGUCAAAUCAGCACGGCCCUUACGUCCGGGGCGACACACGUGUUACAAUGGCAGGUACAGCGGGAAGCCACCUGGUGACAGGGAGCGGAACCCGAAAGCCUGUCUCAGUUCGGAUUGGAGUCUGCAACUCGACUCCAUGAAGCUGGAUUCGCUAGUAAU